Molecule: ribosomal RNA, 476 nt
Filed under: uncultured bacterium
Lineage: Bacteria
Description: bacterial SSU rRNA
Rfam family: Bacterial small subunit ribosomal RNA
Source: RNAcentral
AUGAACGCUAGCGGCAGGCUUAACACAUGCAAGUCGAGGGGUAUAGUUCUUCGGAACUAGAGACCGGCGCACGGGUGCGUAACGCGUAUGCAAUCUACCUUUCACAGAGGGAUAGCCCAGAGAAAUUUGGAUUAAUACCUCAUAGUAUUAUAGAAUGGCAUCAUUUUAUAAUUAAAGUCACAACGGUGAAAGAUGAGCAUGCGUCCCAUUAGCUAGAUGGUAAGGUAACGGCUUACCAUGGCAACGAUGGGUAGGGGUCCUGAGAGGGAGAUCCCCCACACUGGUACUGAGACACGGACCAGACUCCUACGGGAGGCAGCAGUGAGGAAUAUUGGACAAUGGGCGCAAGCCUGAUCCAGCCAUGCCGCGUGCAGGAUGACGGUCCUAUGGAUUGUAAACUGCUUUUGCACAGGAAGAAACAACGCUACGUGUAGCGUCUUGACGGUACUGUGAGAAUAAGGAUCGGCUAACUCCGU